This 73-nucleotide transfer RNA is filed under the name Camelus bactrianus (Bactrian camel). It matches the Rfam family "tRNA". Rfam says of the family: Transfer RNA (tRNA) molecules are approximately 80 nucleotides in length. Lineage: Eukaryota; Metazoa; Chordata; Mammalia; Artiodactyla; Camelidae. RNAcentral also lists the same sequence under 2 other names. The record is from Rfam by way of RNAcentral.
GAGGGUAUAGCUCAGUGGUAGAGUCCUAUGCUUAGCGUGGACGAGGUCCUGGGUUCAAUCCCCAGUACCUCCA